ACGCUCGACACCUACGGAGGCAGCAGUGGGGAAUAUUGGGCAAUGGGCGCAAGCCUGACCCAGCAACGCCGCGUGAAGGAAGAAGGCUUUCGGGUUGUAAACUUCUUUUGUCAGGGAACAGUAGAAGAGGGUACCUGACGAAUAAGCCACGGCUAACUACGUGCCACAGCGCCGGUAGUAUNGNGGCGNGNGAGAG
This 196-nucleotide ribosomal RNA is filed under the name uncultured bacterium. RNAcentral describes it as "partial 16S ribosomal RNA". It matches the Rfam family "Bacterial small subunit ribosomal RNA", at positions 328 to 540 of the family's 1533-position model. The record is from RNAcentral.